AUUGAACGCUGGCGGCAGGCCUAACACAUGCAAGUCGAACGCGUGGCGGGAGGGUGAGUAAUGUCUGGGAAACUGCCUGAUGGAGGGGGAUAACUACUGGAAACGGUAGCUAAUACCGCAUACCAUCAGAUGUGCCCAGAUGGGAUUAGCUUGUUGUGGGGGUAACGGCGCACCAAGGCGACGAUCCCUAGCUGGUCUGAGAGGAGGACCAGCCAAACUGGAACUGAGACACGGUCCAUACUCCUACGGGAGGAAGCAGUGGGGAAUAUUGCACAAGGGGCGCAAGCCUGAUGCAGCCAUGCCGGGUGUAUGAAGAAGGCCGUCGGGUUGUAAAGUACUUGCAGCGGUGAGGCGUUACCCGCAGAAGAAGCACCGGCUAACUCCGUGCCAGCCGCCGCGGUAAUAC
RNAcentral lists this ribosomal RNA (406 nucleotides) under uncultured bacterium. Its description in RNAcentral is "partial 16S ribosomal RNA". It matches the Rfam family "Bacterial small subunit ribosomal RNA", at positions 30 to 526 of the family's 1533-position model. The record is from RNAcentral.